Molecule: long non-coding RNA, 225 nt
Filed under: Mytilus galloprovincialis (Mediterranean mussel)
Lineage: Eukaryota; Metazoa; Mollusca; Bivalvia; Mytilida; Mytilidae
Source: RNAcentral
GGCGAUUCUUGUACGUUAGUGUGCCAUUUCUGUUUAAAUUGAUCAACAAGAUUUUGUUUAACAAUAGUAUAAAGCCAUGUAUCGUUUACAAAAUAUUGGGUAUCCCACACAAAUGAUAAACCAGAUUCAUCAAGAAUGGAUUUAACAUGUUUCAGCCAAGUAAUAUCAUUUUUAUAUUUAUACAAUGAGUACUUGUAUAGUAUUGCAGGAAGUUUUUCUUGUUUU